Molecule: ribosomal RNA, 923 nt
Filed under: uncultured archaeon
Lineage: Archaea
Description: bacterial SSU rRNA
Rfam family: Archaeal small subunit ribosomal RNA
Source: RNAcentral
AUUUUCCGGUUGAUCCCGCCGGAGGCUACUGCUAUUGGGGAUUCGAUUAAGCCAUGCGAGUCAAGGUGUCUUCGGACGCCGGCAUACGGCUCAGUAAACACGUAGGUAACCUACCCUCAGGACUGAGAUAACCCCGGGAAACUGGGGCUAAUAUUAGAUAGAUAAAAGAUACUGGAAUGUUCUUUUAUCCAAAGCUUUUGCGCCUGAGGAUGGGCCUGCGCCCGAUUAGGUUGUUGGUGGGGUAAUGGCCCACCAAGCCUACGAUCGGUACGGGCAGUGGGAGCUGAAGCCCGGAGUUGGGGACUGAGACAAGGCCCCAGGCCCUACGGGGCGCAGCAGGCGCGAAACCUCUGCAAUGCGGGAAACCGUGACAGGGGGAUCCCAAGUGCUCAUGCAUUGCAUGGGCUGUUCUUUGGUCUAAGUAACCAGAGGAGUAAGGGCUGGGCAAGACCGGUGCCAGCCGCCGCGGUAAUACCGGCAGCUCAAGUGGUAGCCGCGAUUAUUGGGCCUAAAACGUUCGUAGCCGGAUAAGUAAGUCUUUGGUUAAAUCCUGCGACUUAACCGUGGGAAAUCUAGAGAUACUGCUUGUCUUGAGACCGGGAGAGGUUGGAGGUACUCCCAGGGUAGGGGUGAAAUCCUGUAAUCCUGGGGGGACCACCUGUGGCGAAGGCGUCCAACUGGAACGGGUCUGACGGUGAGGGACGAAACCUAGGGGAGCGGGCCGGAUUAGAUACCCGGGUAGUCCUAGGCGUAAAUGAUGCGAGUUAAGUGUGGGGGCAUCCACGAGAUGGCCCUGUGCUGUAGGGUAGCCGUUAAACUCGCUGCCUGGGGAGUACGGUCGCAAGGCUGAAACUUAAAGGAAUUGGCGGGGGAGCACCACAAGAGGUGGAGGCUGCGGUUCAAUUGGAUUCAACGCCGGAAAU